GUUAUCUGCCCCUUUCAAAGUUAUUCAACUGCAAAAGCCCCAGUGUACUCUUUUCUGAUCCCAAAGAUAGAACUUGGAAGGACUCAACAGAGAAGUUUGGGGCAUUUUAUUACUUACAGACUACUGGGCAGUGGCAAGCCAAGAUACAAUGGAGGGCCUCACCGUACCUACAAGAGGGGGGAGUGUAUGUGGGAUAGCUUGCAUGCCCGCUGGGCAGGCAGAUUUCUUCAGAUGUUCUUUUACUCUACAACAAGGUCACUCUGCUUUGAUUCUCACAUAAAGAUUGGAGAUAAGGGAAAUAGCCAGCUCCCCCUCUCUAUUUCCUUCAUUAUCACAUUCUUUAGAGACCUUCUUAUUACAAGCUUUUCUAGGUAUUGAUUAGUGUUUACUCCAACAACCUGUGUGUCAAGGAAAGUACAGUCAUGACCCAUGAUCCAUGACCCCUGCAAAAUGCUAAUUCCCUGAUCUCAAGAGGAUAUCCUCUUGACUGAGUAUUCCAGCCUACCUACCUGCUGCUUAGCCCUGAAUUCCUAGUAAUCCUUACCCCUCCGGCUAUGCUUGAAAAAUAAUUUUCAAAAACUUUUUUUUAUGGUGAAAAGCUAUUUAUCAACUACCUUUUAACUUUCCAGAGAGUGUGAUAUGACAACUGGGAAACAAUUCCAUGGAUCUUCACACUAUCCUCCUGCAAAAAUCCCUUCCCUGGCCUUUGGCAUUCCUUGGGCUUCCUCCCUCAGCCUCUAAAGUGAGGUAUGGAGCUUGUAUCCUAUGACAAGGAACAGUGGAUAAUUCCAAAAACAAAGACUUCAUCUACUGAGGUGAUGCUUCUAAUAUGACUCUGAACUUAAUUCAUAAAAGGUUUCCCAGAGCCAUUCCAUCACCACUGCCAAUUACACCAAACCAAGGCAAUUGGUGUAAGGAAAUAGAAAUACGGUAACGGCUUUUGCUUUCUGUUUGUCUUGAGCCAGGAAUCAUUUGUGGGACUGAAAAUGUUCCACCUCUGCCUCAGCUAUUAAAGAAUCUCAUUCAAUUAUACCAACUUCACAAACAAAUGAAGUUAAUUGCCCCAAUAUUUUGAAACCCUUGAAUAUUAUCAAAUCUGAACAAAUUGGCUGCUCAAAACUUUACUCCUUACCUCUCAUUAGUGGAGACAAUGCCAGAAAGUGGAGAAAGAAGCUCUAUUAACUGAAGGGGAACGCUGGAAGGGUCUGCAACCUUAUAUGGCAAGUCUUCAGGGAAGACCACAGUUAGAAAAACUAUAAGCUAAUCCAAAGGAACUGGGAAGAAAUCUGGGAGAGGGCAGAGAUUUGAUAUACAAGUAUUCCAGGCUGUGGAGUAAGGGGAAUGUAGAUUCAAAAGCAGAACUCCUGCUAGGUAGCUUCUCAGAGCAUGGUACCAGGUGCUCAUUAAGACAGUGACAAACAGUGAAAACACGUCUCAGGGUGAAGCUUGGGACUCACAAAUGCCCAGGGCCAGUGAGUCCAAGGUCCCCUUCAGCUCACCAAGAAAUUCCACUUACAGCUGGGCAGUCACCUCCACCGUGCAACCAGCACGCUGGUUUCAUACAAGAGGUUCGUAGCAUAGAAGUUAACUCGUGAAAUCAAAAUAAACACACAGACUCAAUUACCUUUUUCUUUGACCAGGUCCAAGUCGGCCCUCCCUCUAGCUCUCACCUCGAACCACCCGGUGGGGCAGCAAGAUUUACU
Molecule: long non-coding RNA, 1703 nt
Filed under: Marmota monax (woodchuck)
Lineage: Eukaryota; Metazoa; Chordata; Mammalia; Rodentia; Sciuridae
Source: RNAcentral